AGUCGAAGGACUCUUCCGACUAGUGGCGGACGGGUGAGUAAACGUGGGAACGUGCCUUUAGGUUCGGAAUAAGCCCGGGAAACUGGGUCUAAUACCGAAUGUGCCCUUCGGGGGAAAGAUUUAUCGCCUUUAGAGCGGCCCGCGUCUGAUUAGCUAGUUGGUAGUGUAAUGGACUACCAAGGCUACGAUCAGUAGCUGGUCUGAGAGGAUGACCAGCCACAUUGGGACUGAGACACGGCCCAAACUCCUACGGGAGGCAGCAGUGGGGAAUCCUGCGCAAUGGGCGAAAGCCUGACGCAGCCAUGCCGCGUGAAUGAUGAAGGUCUUACGAUUGUAAAAUUCUUUCACCGGGGACGAUAAUGACGGUACCCGGAGAAGAAGCCCCGGCUAACUUCGUGCCAGCAGCCGCGGUAAUACGAAGGGGGCUAGCGUUGCUCGGAAUUACUGGGCGUAAAGGGCGCGUAGGCGGACAUUUAAGUCAGGGGUGAAAUCCCAGAGCUCAACUCUGGAACUGCCUUUGAUACUGGGUGUCUUGAGUGUGAGAGAGGUAUGUGGAACUCCGAGUGUAGAGGUGAAAUUCGUAUAUAUUCUGAAGAACACCAGUGGCGAAAGCGACAUACUGGCUCAUUACUGACGCUGAGGCGCCAAAGCCGUGGGGAGCCAACAGGAUUAGAUACCCUGGUAGUCCACGCCGUAAACGAUGAUUGCUAGUUGCCGGGCUGCCUGCCGAUUCGGUGACCCCGCUAACGUCUUUAAUCCAUCCCUCCUGGGGAGUACCGCUCCCAAGAUUAAAACUCAAAAGGAUU
This 806-nucleotide ribosomal RNA is filed under the name uncultured Alphaproteobacteria bacterium. RNAcentral's name for it is "bacterial SSU rRNA". It matches the Rfam family "Bacterial small subunit ribosomal RNA", at positions 75 to 911 of the family's 1533-position model. The record is from RNAcentral. Lineage: Bacteria; Pseudomonadati; Pseudomonadota; Alphaproteobacteria.